UCACCCAAUUUCAAAUCUAAGAGCCAAGAUUAUGACAAACACAAAUGAUCUUUUUAUACAAUUUUCCUUGUCCAGGGUUUGUAUACACUGGAGAAAAACAGAGAUUGGAUAAGGGGGCGAAUGAUGGGAGAGAGAAGAGGAACAAAAGAAAGGAUGACAAAAGUGAAGCGACCCUCAGAGGAUGAUGGGGUUCAGGCGUUUUUGUCCCCACUCUACUAGAGGGGUCAUGCUACUGAAUGAGAAAAACCCACACGCUUUCGUCUCUUUCCUUCUCCUACUAUUCCUCUCUAUUUUAAUCCCUCUUCUCCCUCCACUUUCAUUCUCUACACCCCCUCUCUGCAACAGCUCUCUCUCGAUCUCGAUCUCGAUCUCGACCUCGACCUCGACCUCGAUCUCGACCUCUCGACACAGUGGUUUCCUAUUUGGAUAGUGGGUUUGCGCCAUGAGCAGCGACGCUUGCUCGGUGUCUGCACCAAGGGAGAGUGGCACAACCGCUGCCACCUGUGGUGUAAGAGUGAUUGGGAAGCGGUGUGUCAGGAUAGUGAAGCAGCACAGGACAAGGCUUUACAUUCUCAGGCGUUGCAUCACCAUGCUCCUUUGCUGGCAUACCCAUUCUGUGCGAGAAUGAGCAGAUUCCUCUUCACUCUCCCUCCUCUUCUUUAACUCUUCAUUUAACUUUUAUCCUCUUUCUUCAUUGGGUCUCUCUCUCUUCCCCUGCUUUUGUUUCUGUGUUGGCUUGAUUCAGUUUUCUCUCAUGGAAUACGUUAAAGUUUGUGCAACUGAGCCAUGGGACUACUUGUUUAUGUUGAAGAACUAUGGGGUCCUUUGUUGUUGCCAUCUCUGUUCAACUGUUCCUCCAAACUUGUCUCCCAUAUAAUUGUCUAUGGUUUUUUUUUUUUUUCCUCUCUUUGAAAGAAUACUAAAAGGGAAAAAUGUAAAACCAAAUGAUAGAGGGUGUGGUUUGCAUGAGGUUGCAACCUUAAACAAUACAAUUAAG
RNAcentral lists this long non-coding RNA (997 nucleotides) under Amborella trichopoda. Its description in RNAcentral is "long non-coding RNA (ATRI_LNC001776)". Lineage: Eukaryota; Viridiplantae; Streptophyta; Magnoliopsida; Amborellales; Amborellaceae. The record is from RNAcentral.